CGUUGAAUGACGUGCUUGCACUGAUUUCAACAAUGAAGCGAGUGGCGAACUGGUGAGUAACACGUGGGAAAUCUGCCCAGAAGCAGGGGAUAACACUUGGAAACAGGUGCUAAUACCGUAUAACAACAAAAUCCGCAUGGAUUUUGUUUGAAAGGUGGCUUCGGCUAUCACUUCUGGAUGAUCCCGCGGCGUAUUAGUUAGUUGGUGAGGUAAAGGCCCACCAAGACGAUGAUACGUAGCCGACCUGAGAGGGUAAUCGGCCACAUUGGGACUGAGACACGGCCCAAACUCCUACGGGAGGCAGCAGUAGGGAAUCUUCCACAAUGGACGAAAGUCUGAUGGAGCAAUGCCGCGUGAGUGAAGAAGGGUUUCGGCUCGUAAAACUCUGUUGUUAAAGAAGAACACCUUUGAGAGUAACUGUUCAAGGGUUGACGGUAUUUAACCAGAAAGCCACGGCUAACUACGUGCCAGCAGCCGCGGUAAUACGUAGGUGGCAAGCGUUGUCCGGAUUUAUUGGGCGUAAAGCGAGCGCAGGCGGUUUUUUAAGUCUGAUGUGAAAGCCUUCGGCUUAACCGGAGAAGUGCAUCGGAAACUGGGAGACUUGAGUGCAGAAGAGGACAGUGGAACUCCAUGUGUAGCGGUGGAAUGCGUAGAUAUAUGGAAGAACACCAGUGGCGAAGGCGGCUGUCUAGUCUGUAACUGACGCUGAGGCUCGAAAGCAUGGGUAGCGAACAGGAUUAGAUACCCUGGUAGUCCAUGCCGUAAACGAUGAGUGCUAAGUGUUGGAGGGUUUCCGCCCUUCAGUGCUGCAGCUAACGCAUUAAGCACUCCGCCUGGGGAGUACGACCGCAAGGUUGAAACUCAAAGGAAUUGACGGGGGCCCGCACAAGCGGUGGAGCAUGUGGUUUAAUUCGAAGCUACGCGAAGAACCUUACCAGGUCUUGACAUCUUCUGCCAAUCUUAGAGAUAAGACGUUCCCUUCGGGGACAGAAUGACAGGUGGUGCAUGGUUGUCGUCAGCUCGUGUCGUGAGAUGUUG
RNAcentral lists this ribosomal RNA (1038 nucleotides) under Levilactobacillus brevis. RNAcentral's name for it is "bacterial SSU rRNA". It matches the Rfam family "Bacterial small subunit ribosomal RNA", at positions 60 to 1077 of the family's 1533-position model. Lineage: Bacteria; Bacillati; Bacillota; Bacilli; Lactobacillales; Lactobacillaceae. The record is from RNAcentral.